CCUACGGGGGGCUGCAGUAGGGAAUCUUCCGCAAUGGGCGCAAGCCUGAUGCAGCAACACCGCGUGAGUGAAGAAGGGUUUCGGCUCGUAAAGCUCUGUUGUUGGCGAAGAAGGUGCGUGAGAGUAACUGUUCACGCAGUGACGGUAACCAACCAGAAAGUCACGGCUAACUACGUGCCAGCAGCCGCGGUAAUACGUAGGUGGCAAGCGUUAUCCGGAUUUAUUGGGCGUAAAGCGAGCGCAGGCGGUUGCUUAGGUCUGAUGUGAAAGCCUUCGGCUUAACCUAAGAAGUGCAUCGGAAACCGGGCAACUUGAGUGCAGAAGAGGAGAGUGGAAUUCCAGGUGUAGCGGUGGAAUGCGUAGAGAUAUGGAAGAACACCAGUGGCGAAGGCGGCUGUCUGGUCUGCAACUGACGCUGAAGCUCGAAAGCAUGGGUAGCGAACAGGAUUAGAUACCCUGGUAGUC
RNAcentral lists this ribosomal RNA (465 nucleotides) under uncultured bacterium. RNAcentral describes it as "partial 16S ribosomal RNA". It matches the Rfam family "Bacterial small subunit ribosomal RNA", at positions 338 to 795 of the family's 1533-position model. The record is from RNAcentral.